RNAcentral lists this ribosomal RNA (466 nucleotides) under Vreelandella stevensii. RNAcentral describes it as "partial 16S ribosomal RNA". It matches the Rfam family "Bacterial small subunit ribosomal RNA", at positions 338 to 795 of the family's 1533-position model. The record is from RNAcentral. Lineage: Bacteria; Pseudomonadati; Pseudomonadota; Gammaproteobacteria; Oceanospirillales; Halomonadaceae.
CCUACGGGGGGGCAGCAGUGGGGAAUAUUGGACAAUGGGCGAAAGCCUGAUCCAGCCAUGCCGCGUGUGUGAAGAAGGCCUUCGGGUUGUAAAGCACUUUCAGUGGGGAAGAAAGCCUUGGGGCUAAUACCCUCGAGGAAGGACAUCACCCACAGAAGAAGCACCGGCUAACUCCGUGCCAGCAGCCGCGGUAAUACGGAGGGUGCGAGCGUUAAUCGGAAUUACUGGGCGUAAAGCGCGCGUAGGCGGUCUGAUAAGCCGGUUGUGAAAGCCCCGGGCUCAACCUGGGAACGGCAUCCGGAACUGUCAGGCUAGAGUGCAGGAGAGGAAGGUAGAAUUCCCGGUGUAGCGGUGAAAUGCGUAGAGAUCGGGAGGAAUACCAGUGGCGAAGGCGACCUUCUGGACUGACACUGACGCUGAGGUGCGAAAGCGUGGGUAGCAAACAGGAUUAGAUACCCUAGUAGUC